AUGAGGGAAAUAACAGUGAACAGAGACAGUAUCAAACACACACUCACCCAAACAAACACACUCACUUACUCACAUGCACAUACACACUCACUCACUCACUCUCACACACACUCACUCACACACACACUCACUCACAUGCACAUUCACUCACUCGCACACACACACUCACUCACACACUCGCUUGCACACAGUCACUCAUUCACACACUCACUUACACACUCUCACUCACUCACUCGCACACACACACACACUCACUUGCACUCACUUACUCACACACUCACAUGCACGAUCACUCACUUGCAGACAGUCAUUCACUCACACACUCACUUACAUUCUCACUCACUCACUCGCACACACUCACACGCACUUACUUGCAAGCACACACACACUCACUCACACUCUCCCGCACACUCACUCACACACUCUCACUCACAUGCACACUCACUCACUUGCACACUCACUCACUCACUUAAACACUUACUCACACACUCACUCGCACACACUCACUCACACACUUGCACACUCACACACUCACACACAAGCACACUUACACUCACACAAACACACAUGCACACUCACUUGCACAGACUCACACUCACUCACAUGCACAUUCACUCACACACUCUCACUCACUCACACAAUCAUUUACACACUCACUCGCAAACACUCACUCACACACUCUCACUCACACUCACUCGCAGUCACUCGAACACUCACUCGCACACACUCACUCACACACUUGCACACUCACACACUCACACACAAGCACACUUACACUCACACAAACUCACAUGCACACUCACUUGCACAGACUCACACUCACUCACAUGCACAUUCAGUCACACACUCUCACUCACAUGCACACUCUCACACACUCACACACACUCACACAAUCAUUUACACACUCACUCACUCACACUCACUCACUCACACACUCUCACUCGCAGUCACUCGAACACUCACUCGCACACACACACUCACUCACUUGCACACUCUCACUCACACGCACAUACUUGCAAGCACACACAAACUCACACUCUCUCGUACAAUCACACACUCACUCACACACUCUCACUCACUCACACACACUCACUCACUCACACACACUCACUCGCAGUCACUCGAACACUCACUCGCACACACACACUCACUCACUUGCACACUCUCACUCACACGCACAUACUUGCAAGCACACACAAACUCACACUCUCUCGUACAAUCACACACUCACUCACACACUCACUCACUUACACACUAUCACUCUCACUCACUCACACACUACUAACUCACUCACACACACUCGCACUCACUCACACACUUGCACACUCACACUCUCACUCACACACUCACUCUCACACACACACUCACAUAUUUUACUGUAUUUUUGAUUCUAGAAAUGCAGCGUUGAUGAGCAGAAGAGACUUCUUAAAAAAAUCUUACUGA
RNAcentral lists this long non-coding RNA (1443 nucleotides) under Carassius auratus (goldfish). RNAcentral's name for it is "lncRNA (ENSCARG00000013781.1)". Lineage: Eukaryota; Metazoa; Chordata; Actinopteri; Cypriniformes; Cyprinidae. The record is from RNAcentral.